RNAcentral lists this ribosomal RNA (1496 nucleotides) under Promethearchaeota archaeon. RNAcentral's name for it is "bacterial SSU rRNA". It matches the Rfam family "Archaeal small subunit ribosomal RNA". The record is from RNAcentral. Lineage: Archaea; Promethearchaeati; Promethearchaeota.
UUAACUCUGGUUGAUCCUGCCAGACCCGACUGCUAUCCGGGUAGGACUAAGCCAUGCAAGUUGAAUGGAAUACCUAAAUUUUCCAUGGCGAACCACUCAGUAACACGUGAUCAACUUACCCUAAAGCGGUGUAUAACCUCGGGAAACUGAGGAUAAUGCACCAUAAUUGAAACUGCCUGGAAUGGUUUUUCAAUGAAAGAGUAAUCUGAAUGGAGAUUAUAUCACCUUAGGAUAGGAUCGCGCCCGAUUAUGGCUGUUGGUGAGGUAACGGCUCACCAAACCUAUUAUCGGUAAGGGCCGUGAGAGCGGUAGCCCUGAGUUGGGUACUGAGACAAUGACCCAGGUCUUACGAGACGCAGCAGGCGCGAAAUCUUGACAAUACACGAAAGUGUGAUCAGGUUACCCGGAGUGCUACAAAGUAGCUGUGGCAAGUGAGUUAGAAUCCUUGCUAGGAAGGAGAGGGCAAGGCUGGUGCCAGCCGCCGCGGUAAAACCAGCUCUUCAAGUGGUCGGGACUAUUAUUGGGCUUAAAGUGUCCGUAGCCGGUAUAGUAAGUUCCUGGUUAAAUCGGAUAGCUUAACUAUCUGUUGGCUAGGAAUACUGCUAUACUAGGGGGCGGGAGAGGUCUGAGGUACUCCGGGGGUAGGGGUGAAAUCCUAUAAUCCUUGGGGGACCACCAGUGGCGAAGGCGUCAGACUGGAACGCGCUCGACGGUGAGGGACGAAAGCCAGGGGAGCGAACCGGAUUAGAUACCCGGGUAGUCCUGGCUGUAAACGAUGCGUGCUAGGUGUUGGUAUGGCCUUGAGCCGUAUCAGUGCCGUAGGGAAACCGAUAAGCGCGCCGCCUGGGGAGUACGGUCGCAAGACUGAAACUUAAAGGAAUUGGCGGGCGAGCACCACAAGGGGUGAAGCCUGCGGUUCAAUUGGACUCAACGCCGGGAACCUUACCGGGGGCGCCAGCAGUAUGAAGGUCAGGCUGACGACCUUACCAGACAGGCUAAGAGGUGGUGCAUGGCCGUCGCCAGUUCGUGCCGUGAGGUAUCCUGUUAAGUCAGGCAACGAACGAGACCCGCACCUUUAGUUGCCAGCAAGAGGUUUCGAUCUCGAUGGGAACGCUAAAGGGACCGCCAUCUUAUAGGUGGAGGAAGGAGCGAGCCACGGCAGGUCAGUAUGCCCCGAAUCCCCCGGGCCACACGCGGGCUGCAAUGGUAUGGACAAUGGGAUGCGACUCCGAAAGGAGAAGCUAAUCUCUAAACCAUAUCUCAGUUGGAAUUGUCGGCUGAAACUCGCCGACAUGAACGUGGAAUCCCUAGUAAUCGCGUGUCAUCAUCGCGCGGUGAAUACGUCUCUGCUCGUUGCACACACCGCCCGUCGCUCCAUCCGAGUGUAGAAUAAAUGAGGCUUGGUCCAUUGGGUCAAUCCGAAUUUAAGUUACGCGAGGAGGGAGAAGUCGUAACAAGGUAGCCGUAGGGGAACCUGCGGCUGGAUCACCUCCUAA